This 253-nucleotide ribosomal RNA is filed under the name uncultured bacterium. RNAcentral's name for it is "partial 16S ribosomal RNA". It matches the Rfam family "Bacterial small subunit ribosomal RNA", at positions 524 to 776 of the family's 1533-position model. The record is from RNAcentral.
UACGUAGGGGGCAAGCGUUGUCCGGAAUUAUUGGGCGUAAAGAGCUUGUAGGCGGUUUGUCGCGUCUGCUGUGAAAAUCCGGGGCUCAACCCCGGACUUGCAGUGGGUACGGGCAGACUAGAGUGUGGUAGGGGAGACUGGAAUUCCUGGUGUAGCGGUGAAAUGCGCAGAUAUCAGGAGGAACACCGAUGGCGAAGGCAGGUCUCUGGGCCACUACUGACGCUGAGAAGCGAAAGCAUGGGGAGCGAACAGG